This 847-nucleotide ribosomal RNA is filed under the name uncultured bacterium. RNAcentral's name for it is "bacterial SSU rRNA". It matches the Rfam family "Bacterial small subunit ribosomal RNA", at positions 41 to 896 of the family's 1533-position model. The record is from RNAcentral.
GGCGUGCCUAACACAUGCAAGUCGAGCGGGGCUUGGGGAAGCGCUUGCGCUUCGUUGGGUCUAGCGGCGGACGGGUGAGUAACGCGUGGGUAACCUGCCGAUCACUGGGGAAUAACAAUGAGAAAUCAUUGCUAAUGCCUCAUAAGCUCACGACAUCGCAUGGUGAUGUGAGAAAAGAUUUAUCGGUGAUUGAGGGGCCCGCGUCUGAUUAGCUAGUUGGAGAGGUAACGGCUCACCAAGGCGACGAUCAGUAGCCGACCUGAGAGGGUGAUCGGCCACAUUGGGACUGAGACACGGCCCAAACUCCUACGGGAGGCAGCAGUGGGGAAUAUUGCACAAUGGGGGGAACCCUGAUGCAGCAACGCCGCGUGAAGGAAGAAGGCUUUCGGGUCGUAAACUUCUAUCGAUGGGGAAGAAAGAAAUGACGGUACCCAAGUAAGAAGCCCCGGCUAACUACGUGCCAGCAGCCGCGGUAAAACGUAGGGGGCAAGCGUUAUCCGGAAUUACUGGGGUGUAAAGGGUGAGUAGGCGGAUCGGUAAGUCAUAUGUGAAAUCCCACUGCUUAACGGUGGAACUGCAUAAGAAACUAUUGAUCUAGAGUACAGGAGAGGCAAGCGGAAUUCCUAGUGUAGCGGUGAAAUGCGUAGAUAUUAGGAAGAACACCAGUGGCGAAGGCGGCUUGCUGGACUGAAACUGACGCUGAGUCACGAAAGCGUGGGGAGCGAACAGGAUUAGAUACCCUGGUAGUCCACGCUGUAAACGAUGAAUGCUAGGUGUCGGUAUGGACAUAUCGGUGCCGGAGUAAACACAAUAAGCAUUCCACCUGGGGAGUACGGCCGCAAGGUUG